UGGGGAAUUUUGGACAAUGGGCGAAAGCCUGAUCCAGCCAUGCCGCGUGAGUGAAGAAGGCCUUCGGGUUGUAAAGCUCUUUUAGUCGGAAAGAAAGAGUUGCAAUGAAUAAUUGUGAUUUAUGACGGUACCGACAGAAAAAGCACCGGCUAACUACGUGCCAGCAGCCGCGGUAAUACGUAGGGUGCGAGCGUUAAUCGGAAUUACUGGGCGUAAAGGGUGCGCAGGCGGUCUUGCAAGUCAGAUGUGAAAGCCCCGGGCUUAACCUGGGAAUUGCGUUUGAAACUACAAGGCUAGAGUGCAGCAGAGGGGAGUGGAAUUCCAUGUGUAGCAGUGAAAUGCGUAGAGAUGUGGAAGAACACCGAUGGCGAAGGCAGNCUCCCUGGGGUUNACGACUGACGC
This 402-nucleotide ribosomal RNA is filed under the name uncultured bacterium. RNAcentral describes it as "bacterial SSU rRNA". It matches the Rfam family "Bacterial small subunit ribosomal RNA", at positions 355 to 746 of the family's 1533-position model. The record is from RNAcentral.